GCGGUAAGGCCUUUCGGGGUACACGAGCGGCGAACGGGUGAGUAACACGUGGGUGAUCUGCCCUGCACUUCGGGAUAAGCCUGGGAAACUGGGUCUAAUACCGGAUAUGACCUCAGGUUGCAUGACUUGGGGUGGAAAGAUUUAUCGGUGCAGGAUGGGCCCGCGGCCUAUCAGCUUGUUGGUGGGGUAAUGGCCUACCAAGGCGACGACGGGUAGCCGACCUGAGAGGGUGACCGGCCACACUGGGACUGAGACACGGCCCAUACUCCUACGGGAGGCAGCAGUGGGGAAUAUUGUUCAAUGGGUAAAAGACUAGUGCAGCGACGCCGCGUGAGGGAUGACG
RNAcentral lists this ribosomal RNA (343 nucleotides) under Rhodococcus sp. SC4s16. RNAcentral's name for it is "bacterial SSU rRNA". It matches the Rfam family "Bacterial small subunit ribosomal RNA", at positions 66 to 413 of the family's 1533-position model. The record is from RNAcentral. Lineage: Bacteria; Bacillati; Actinomycetota; Actinomycetes; Mycobacteriales; Nocardiaceae.